Molecule: ribosomal RNA, 253 nt
Filed under: uncultured bacterium
Lineage: Bacteria
Description: partial 16S ribosomal RNA
Rfam family: Bacterial small subunit ribosomal RNA
Source: RNAcentral
UACGUAGGGGGCUAGCGUUGUCCGGAAUCAUUGGGCGUAAAGCGCGCGUAGGCGGCCAGAUAAGUCCGGUGUGAAAGCCACAGGCUCAACCUGUGAAUGCCGCUGGAAACUGUCUGGCUAGAGUCCGGGAGGGGCGAGUGGAAUUCCUGGUGUAGCGGUGAAAUGCGCAGAUAUCAGGAGGAACACCGGUGGCGAAGGCGGUUCUCUGGGCCUGUACUGACGCUGAGGAACGAAAGCGUGGGGAGCGAACAGG